ACCAGGAACCGUACCCCAAACCGACACAGGUGGUCGGGUAGAGAAUACCAAGGCGCUUGAGAGAACUCGGGUGAAGGAACUAGGCAAAAUGGCACCGUAACUUCGGGAGAAGGUGCGCCGGCUAGGGUGAAGGAUUUACUCCGUAAGCCCUGGCUGGUCGAAGAUACCAGGCCGCUGCGACUGUUUAUUAAAAACACAGCACUCUGCAAACACGAAAGUGGACGUAUAGGGUGUGACGCCUGCCCGGUGCCGGAAGGUUAAUUGAUGGGGUUAGCGCAAGCGAAGCUCUUGAUCGAAGCCCCGGUAAACGGCGGCCGUAACUAUAACGGUCCUAAGGUAGCGAAAUUCCUUGUCGGGUAAGUUCCGACCUGCACGAAUGGCGUAACGAUGGCGGCGCUGUCUCCACCCGAGACUCAGUGAAAUUGAAAUCGCUGUGAAGAUGCAGUGUAUCCGCGGCUAGACGGAAAGACCCCGUGAACCUUUACUGUAGCUUUGCACUGGACUUUGAGCCUGCUUGUGUAGGAUAGGUGGGAGGCUUUGAAGCGUGGACGCCAGUUCGCGUGGAGCCAUCCUUGAAAUACCACCCUGGCAUGCUUGAGGUUCUAACUCUGGUCCGUGAUCCGGAUCGAGGACAGUGUAUGGUGGGCAGUUUGACUGGGGCGGUCUCCUCCUAAAGAGUAACGGAGGAGUACGAAGGUGCGCUCAGACCGGUCGGAAAUCGGUCGUAGAGUAUAAAGGCAAAAGCGCGCUUGACUGCGAGACAGACACGUCGAGCAGGUACGAAAGUAGGUCUUAGUGAUCCGGUGGUUCUGUAUGGAAGGGCCAUCGCUCAACGGAUAAAAGGUACUCCGGGGAUAACAGGCUGAUACCGCCCAAGAGUUCAUAUCGACGGCGGUGUUUGGCACCUCGAUGUCGGCUCAUCACAUCCUGGGGCUGAAGCCGGUCCCAAGGGUAUGGCUGUUCGCCAUUUAAAGUGGUACGCGAGCUGGGUUUAGAACGUCGUGAGACAGUUCGGUCCCUAUCUGCCGUGGACGUUUGAGAUUUGAGAGGGGCUGCUCCUAGUACGAGAGGACCGGAGUGGACGAACCUCUGGUGUUCCGGUUGUCACGCCAGUGGCAUUGCCGGGUAGCUAUGUUCGGAAAAGAUAACCGCUGAAAGCAUCUAAGCGGGAAACUUGCCUCAAGAUGAGAUCUCACUGGGAACUUGAUUCCCCUGAAGGGCCGUCGAAGACUACGACGUUGAUAGGCUGGGUGUGUAAGCGUUGUGAGGCGUUGAGCUAACCAGUACUAAUUGCCCGUGAGGCUUGACCAU
Molecule: ribosomal RNA, 1311 nt
Filed under: Pseudomonas aeruginosa
Lineage: Bacteria; Pseudomonadati; Pseudomonadota; Gammaproteobacteria; Pseudomonadales; Pseudomonadaceae
Description: bacterial LSU rRNA
Rfam family: Bacterial large subunit ribosomal RNA
Source: RNAcentral